CCAAUUUCCUUGCUCAUUCAUAUAGCUCUCUUUGGGCUUUCCGAAAAGGUAUCACAUGCAAAGUUUGGCCUCGCGGUCUAAAAGUUAUAGAGGUAUACUUUUUUACCAAAAAAAAAGAAGAAAAAAACCAAAAAAAAGAGGGAUUCAACACGAGGACUUUCUGGGAGGUCACUCAUCCUAUUACUACUCUCGCCCAAGCACGCUUAACUGCGGAGUUCUGAUAGGAUCCAGUG
Molecule: small RNA, 233 nt
Filed under: Arabidopsis thaliana (thale cress)
Lineage: Eukaryota; Viridiplantae; Streptophyta; Magnoliopsida; Brassicales; Brassicaceae
Description: ATSL164040
Source: RNAcentral